GACGAACGCUGGCGGCGUGCCUAACACAUGCAAGUCGAGCGGAGUCGAUCGACGGAAGCCUUCGGGCGGAAGAUGGUUGACUUAGCGGCGGAUGGGUGAGUAACGCGUGGGCAACCUGCCUCGAAGACCGGGAUAACAGCCCGAAAGGGCUGCUAAUACCGGAUGUGGUCAAAGAUCCGCAUGGAUUUUUGAUUAAAGGGGAAACCCGUUUCGAGAUGGGCCCGCGUCCUAUCAGCUAGUUGGUGAGGUAAAAGCUCACCAAGGCGACGACGGGUAGCCGGCCUGAGAGGGUGACCGGCCACACUGGAACUGAGACACGGUCCAGACUCCUACGGGGGGCAGCAGUGGGGAAUCUUCCACAAUGGGCGAAAGCCUGAUGGAGCGACGCCGCGUGAGCGAAGAAGGCCUCGGUUGUAAAGCUCUGUCUGGAGGGACGAAGGAAGUGACGGUACCUCCGGAGGAAGACCACGGCUAACUACGUAGCCAGCAGCCGCGGUAAAGUACUCUAU
RNAcentral lists this ribosomal RNA (509 nucleotides) under uncultured bacterium. RNAcentral's name for it is "bacterial SSU rRNA". It matches the Rfam family "Bacterial small subunit ribosomal RNA", at positions 28 to 530 of the family's 1533-position model. The record is from RNAcentral.